GCAUUGAUGGCUCAGUGAGGCCUUGGGACUGGCUCAGGAGGGUUGGCAACGACCCCCCAGAGCCGGAAACUUGGUCAAACUCGGUCAUUUAGAGGAAGUAAAAGUCGUAACAAGGUUUCCGUAGGUGAACCUGCGGAAGGAUCAUUACUGAGUGAGGGCCCUCUGGGUCCAACCUCCCACCCGUGUUUAUUGUACCUUGUUGCUUCGGUGCGCCCGCCUCACGGCCGCCGGGGGGCUUCUGCCCCCGGGUCCGCGCGCACCGGAGACACUAUUGAACUCUGUCUGAAGAUUGCAGUCUGAGCAUAAACUAAAUAAGUUAAAACUUUCAACAACGGAUCUCUUGGUUCCGGCAUCGAUGAAGAACGCAGCGAAAUGCGAUAACUAAUGUGAAUUGCAGAAUUCAGUGAAUCAUCGAGUCUUUGAACGCACAUUGCGCCCCCUGGUAUUCCGGGGGGCAUGCCUGUCCGAGCGUCAUUGCUGCCCUCAAGCACGGCUUGUGUGUUGGGCUCCGUCCCCCCGGGGACGGGUCCGAAAGGCAGCGGCGGCACCGAGUCCGGUCCUCGAGCGUAUGGGGCUUUGUCACCCGCUCUGUAGGCCCGGCCGGCGCCAGCCGACAACCAAUCAUCCUUUUUUCAGGUUGACCUCGGAUCAGGUAGGGAUACCCGCUGAACUUAAGCAUAUCAAUAAGCGGAGGAAAAGAAACCAACAGGGAUUACCUCAGUAACGGCGAGUGAAGCGGUAAGAGCUCAAAUUUGAAAGCUGGCUCCUUCGGGGUCCGCAUUGUAAUUUGCAGAGGAUGUUUCGGGAGCAGCCCCCAUCUAAGUGUCCUGGAACGGACCGUCAUAGAGGGUGAGAAUCCCGUAUGGGAUGGGGUGUCUGCGCU
This 883-nucleotide ribosomal RNA is filed under the name Penicillium sp. 7 BRO-2013. RNAcentral's name for it is "eukaryotic LSU rRNA". The stretch from base 639 to 883 matches the Rfam family "Eukaryotic large subunit ribosomal RNA", at positions 1 to 242 of the family's 3401-position model. Lineage: Eukaryota; Fungi; Ascomycota; Eurotiomycetes; Eurotiales; Aspergillaceae. The record is from RNAcentral.